AUGUACAUUCCUACAUCAUAGUUUUAAUGCAUCGGAUCCAUUAGAACUCCACAGUUAAGCGUGCUCAGGCUAGAGUAGUACUGGGAUGGGUGAUCGCCCGAGAAGUCCUAGUGUUUUACAUU
Picea glauca (white spruce) is the source of this 122-nucleotide non-coding RNA. NCBI's taxonomy places the organism in Eukaryota, Viridiplantae, Streptophyta, Pinopsida, Pinales, Pinaceae. The record is from Rfam.